AGCACUGUCUGCAUACUGCACAUUUAUUCUGUUCUGUCUAUUGCCUUGUUUUUGACCUUGUUUGUUUUUUUCGUGUUUGUGAAUGUUUGCUGCCUGCCCUGACCUACGCCUGGAUUAUUGACUUCUGCUUUUGGAUUUCCUUUGAUGUUGUUGUUUGCCUGAUGUGUGACCCUUGCCUGUCUUGGAUUUUGCCUAAUAAACCAGCAUUUGGAUCUAACCUGUUUCACGUUCAUGACAGUAUGUGUGGAACUUCAGAAAUACUGACUGCUGUUAGCUGACAAAAUCAGCAGUUACAGAGUCCUUAUAAAAGCAAGCAAAAUCUUGCAUCCUCCCCCCACAGAUAAACUUGGGGUCACUCCUGAGGGAUUGUGGGUAUUUACAUAUGAAAGUUAAAUCUCCUCCUAUAUGGACAGUCUCACUGAUGGACUUCUCAUAGGACAGAUCUGCAAACCAAACAGUGUCACUACAGUGUAGACCGCCAGUUUAUCAGACACAACAACACCACACGCGUAUGUUCCUGUGUCCUCUAUAUUAAGCUCUCUGAUAAACACGCUGAAGAAUCCUGCACUUCUGUUGUCAUGAAUUGAGAAUCUGCCAU
Tachysurus fulvidraco (yellow catfish) is the source of this 598-nucleotide long non-coding RNA. RefSeq lists it as uncharacterized. The record is from RefSeq and is a predicted model, not a curated record. The transcript has 3 exons. NCBI's taxonomy places the organism in Eukaryota, Metazoa, Chordata, Actinopteri, Siluriformes, Bagridae.